GGCGAACGGGUGAGUAACACGUGAGUAACCUGCCCUUGACUCUGGGAUAAGCCUGGGAAACUGGGUCUAAUACUGGAUAUGACUUCUCACCGCAUGGUGGGGGGUGGAAAGAUUUAUUGGUCUUGGAUGGACUCGCGGCCUAUCAGCUUGUUGGUGAGGUAAUGGCUCACCAAGGCGACGACGGGUAGCCGGCCUGAGAGGGUGACCGGCCACACUGGGACUGAGACACGGCCCAGACUCCUACGGGAGGCAGCAGUGGGGAAUAUUGCACAAUGGGCGCAAGCCUGAUGCAGCGACGCCGCGUGAGGGAUGACGGCCUUCGGGUUGUAAACCUCUUUCAGUAGGGAAGAAGCGAAAGUGACGGUACCUGCAGAAGAAGCGCCGGCUAACUACGUGCCAGCAGCCGCGGUAAUACGUAGGGCGCGAGCGUUAUCCGGAAUUAUUGGGCGUAAAGAGCUCGUAGGCGGUUUGUCGCGUCUGCCGUGAAAGUCCGGGGCUUAACCCCGGAUCUGCGGUGGGUACGGGCAGACUAGAGUGCAGUAGGGGAGACUGGAAUUCCUGGUGUAGCGGUGAAAUGCGCAGAUAUCAGGAGGAACACCGAUGGCGAAGGCAGGUCUCUGGGCUGUAACUGACGCUGAGGAGCGAAAGCAUGGGGAGCGAACAGGAUUAGAUACCCUGGUAGUCCAUGCCGUAAACGUUGGGCACUAGGUGUGGGGGACAUUCCACGUUUUCCGCGCCGUAGCUAACGCAUUAAGUGCCCCGCC
This 764-nucleotide ribosomal RNA is filed under the name Micrococcus sp. A2b-2. RNAcentral's name for it is "bacterial SSU rRNA". It matches the Rfam family "Bacterial small subunit ribosomal RNA", at positions 97 to 873 of the family's 1533-position model. Lineage: Bacteria; Bacillati; Actinomycetota; Actinomycetes; Micrococcales; Micrococcaceae. The record is from RNAcentral. RNAcentral also lists the same sequence under 1 other name.